GCUGAGACAGCAGUAUAAUGGUGUUCCUUUUCUCCAGUCACUAUCCUAGCGUGCGGUUCGGAGGUGCCUGGGGGCUGUGGUUUUUCAACAGUGUGAUAUCGUCAAGAACAGAACUGCAGUAAGCUGCAUUGGAAUAUUCCGCAGAUCGUACCAUACAAGUGAAUCAGGGUAACAGAACAGAGUGCAGGAUACAGUGUUACAGCUGCCAAGAGGUGCAGAGAGAGAGAUCAACAUUAACA
Hemiscyllium ocellatum (epaulette shark) is the source of this 239-nucleotide long non-coding RNA. RefSeq lists it as uncharacterized. The transcript has 3 exons. Lineage: Eukaryota; Metazoa; Chordata; Chondrichthyes; Orectolobiformes; Hemiscylliidae. The record is from RefSeq and is a predicted model, not a curated record.